RNAcentral lists this ribosomal RNA (461 nucleotides) under uncultured bacterium. RNAcentral's name for it is "bacterial SSU rRNA". It matches the Rfam family "Bacterial small subunit ribosomal RNA", at positions 31 to 501 of the family's 1533-position model. The record is from RNAcentral.
GAACGCUGGCGGUGCGCCUUAUGCAUGCAAGUCGAGCGAAGCUUUUCAGUAGUUUACUACAGAAAAUGACUGAGCGGCGAACGGGUGAGUAACGCGUGAGCAAUCUACCUUAGUUACAGGGAUAGCCCGAGGAAACUCGGAUUAAUACCUGAUAUUCUUUAUUUCUCGCAUGAGAAUAAAAGGAAAGGUCAGCCGAACUAAGAUGAGCUCGCGUUCUAUCAGCUAGUUGGUGAGGUAAAAGCUCACCAAGGCUACGACGGAUAGCUGGUCUGAGAGGACGAUCAGCCACACUGGGACUGAGACACGGCCCAGACUCCUACGGGAGGCUGCAGCAGGGAAUAUUGCGCAAUGAGCGAAAGCUUGACGCAGCGACACCGCGUGUGGGAUGACGGAUCUAGGUUUGUAAACCACUUUCAGGAGGGAAGAAAAUGACGGUACCUCCACAAGAAGCCCCGGCCAAU